Molecule: ribosomal RNA, 292 nt
Filed under: uncultured bacterium
Lineage: Bacteria
Also listed under: 1 other name
Description: partial 16S ribosomal RNA
Source: RNAcentral
GGACUACCAGGGUUUCUAAUCCUGUUUGAUCCCCACGCUUUCGUGCCUCAGUGUCAAUACACGCCUAGUGAACUGCCUUCGCAAUCGGUGUUCUAUUACAUAUCUAAGCAUUUCACCGCUACAUGUAAUAUUCCAUCCACCUCGACGUGAUUCAAGCUAAGCAGUAUCAAUGGCAGUUCCGGAGUUGAGCUCCGGGCUUUCACCACUGACUUACAAAGCCACCUACGCACCCUUUAAACCCAGUGAAUCCGGAUAACGCUUGCACCCUCCGUAUUACCGCGGCGGCUGGCAC